CCAAGUAAAUUAAUUGUGACAUGAAAACAUACACUAAGUUCCAAGGUAAGGAAGAUAGAAAGAAGCUUCGUCAUAAUAGAACUGUAGAAGUAGAUCAUACAGCAUUGGGUGUCUAUAAAUAUAAUUGCCACUCCAAAUUUCGUUAUGGAUGUGAAUUUGGCAAACAGAAGUCUUUUGAGCUUUCCACGCUCAUGAAAGGUUGGUGCUUAUAUACGGGUAUAUGCUUGUCACCAUGCAUUGCAUCAAUCAUGGGCAUGCAACGCCAUAGCUAGCUAGGUAGUAAUUCUUUUUCAUUUACUUGGCCUUUUGAAUUUUGAAAGUUGAAAUACCCAUGUUUAAUUCGCCUAAUCAAAGGUCUGCCCAAAUGCCAUAUCCAUAUUGAUUAAUAUUGAUCUUCAAUGGGUUUCAGGUUACACCAUGACAAUUAGUUUACAACGUCGUCCAUUAAUCUGGCCGACUUUCGGUGCAAUUUUGUUGGUUUUCAUCAAUUUGUUUAGUAAUAAGGAUACGUUGGUCA
Juglans microcarpa x Juglans regia is the source of this 517-nucleotide long non-coding RNA. RefSeq lists it as uncharacterized. The transcript is spliced from 2 exons. Lineage: Eukaryota; Viridiplantae; Streptophyta; Magnoliopsida; Fagales; Juglandaceae. The record is from RefSeq and is a predicted model, not a curated record.